This 497-nucleotide ribosomal RNA is filed under the name uncultured bacterium. RNAcentral describes it as "partial 16S ribosomal RNA". It matches the Rfam family "Bacterial small subunit ribosomal RNA", at positions 28 to 507 of the family's 1533-position model. The record is from RNAcentral.
GAUGAACGCUGGCGGCGUGCCUAAUACAUGCAAGUCGAGCGAACAGACGAGGCGCUUGUUCCUUGGUCGUUAGCGGAGGACGGGUGAGUCACACGUGGAUCCUCUACCUAUCUGACUGGGAUAACUUGGAGAAACCGGAGCUAAUAGCGGAGAAUCUAUUGAACCGCAGGGUUCAUUAGUGAAAGACGGCUUUGCGGUCAGUUCUAGAUGGUUCUCGGCGGCAUUAGAUAGUUGGUAGGGUCACGGCUUACCACGGCAACGAGGCGUAGCCGAGCUGAUAGGGUGGUAGCCGACCCGGGAAGUGAGACGGCGUCCAGACGCCUACGGGACGCAGCAGUAGGGAAUCUGCCGCAGUGGGGGAAAGCCUGACGGAGCAAGGCCGCGUGAGUGAUGAAGGUCUUGGGAGCGUAAAACUCUGUUAUGGGGGAAGAACAAAUGUGGAAGGAAAUGUGGCGUUCGUGACGGUACCUAAUCAGAAAGCCACGGCUAACUACGUG